RNAcentral lists this unclassified non-coding RNA (1022 nucleotides) under Murispora navicularispora. RNAcentral's name for it is "Murispora sp. VMD-2020b sequence contains 28S rRNA gene". The record is from RNAcentral. Lineage: Eukaryota; Fungi; Ascomycota; Dothideomycetes; Pleosporales; Amniculicolaceae.
UUUCGCCCCUAUGCCCAAAUUUGACGAUCGAUUUGCACGUCAGAACCGCUGCGAGCCUCCACCAGAGUUUCCUCUGGCUUCACCCUAUUCAGGCAUAGUUCACCAUCUUUCGGGUCCCAACAGCUAUGCUCUUACUCAAAUCCAUCCGAAGACAUCAGGAUCGGUCGAUGGUGCACCCCAAGGGGUUCCCACCUCCGUUCACUUUCAUUGCGCGCUCGGGCUUGACACCCAAACACUCGCAUAGAUGUUAGACUCCUUGGUCCGUGUUUCAAGACGGGCCGCUUACAGCCAUUACGCCAGCAUCCUAGCAGAAGCGCGGACCUCAGUCCAAGCUGGCCGCAUUGCACCCUGGGCUAUAACACUCCCCGAGAGGAGCCACAUUCCCAGAGCCUUUAUCCGACCGCCUGAACUGAUGCUGGCCUGCCCGCAGAAGAGUGCACCAGACACAAGGCCUGGAUGAGCAACUACGAGCAAGUCUGGCUGCAAGCGCUUCCCUUUCAACAAUUUCACGUGCUUUUUGACUCUCUUUCCAAAGUGCUUUUCAUCUUUCGAUCACUCUACUUGUGCGCUAUCGGUCUCUGGCCAAUAUUUAGCUUUAGAAGAAAUUUACCUCCCAUUUAGAGCUGCAUUCCCAAACAACUCGACUCGUCGAAGGGGCUUUACAAGGCGGAAGCUGCUGGCCACAUACGGGAUUCUCACCCUCUGUGACGCCCUGUUCCAAGGGACUUAGACCACAGCUAACACCAAAGCACCCUCUACAAAUUACAACUCGGACCCCCAAGGGAGCCAGAUUUCAAAUUUGAGCUGUUGCCGCUUCACUCGCCGUUACUAGGGCAAUCCCUGUUGGUUUCUUUUCCUCCGCUUAUUGAUAUGCUUAAGUUCAGCGGGUAUCCCUACCUGAUCCGAGGUCAACUAAAAAGGGGCUUUUGGAGAACCACAACCCCCAGUACCGGGGCGCAAAUGUGCUGCGCUCGAAGCCCAGGGAGAUGGCUGCCAAAAAUUUUUAAGGCGAGUCCAUGGCC